Molecule: ribosomal RNA, 764 nt
Filed under: Staphylococcus sp. Pia1s2
Lineage: Bacteria; Bacillati; Bacillota; Bacilli; Caryophanales; Staphylococcaceae
Description: bacterial SSU rRNA
Rfam family: Bacterial small subunit ribosomal RNA
Source: RNAcentral
GAGCUUGCUCCUUUGACGUUAGCGGCGGACGGGUGAGUAACACGUGGAUAACCUACCUAUAAGACUGGGAUAACUUCGGGAAACCGGAGCUAAUACCGGAUAACAUAUUGAACCGCAUGGUUCAAUAGUGAAAGGCGGCUUUGCUGUCACUUAUAGAUGGAUCCGCGCCGUAUUAGCUAGUUGGUAAGGUAACGGCUUACCAAGGCAACGAUACGUAGCCGACCUGAGAGGGUGAUCGGCCACACUGGAACUGAGACACGGUCCAGACUCCUACGGGAGGCAGCAGUAGGGAAUCUUCCGCAAUGGGCGAAAGCCUGACGGAGCAACGCCGCGUGAGUGAUGAAGGUCUUCGGAUCGUAAAACUCUGUUAUCAGGGAAGAACAAAUGUGUAAGUAACUGUGCACAUCUUGACGGUACCUGAUCAGAAAGCCACGGCUAACUACGUGCCAGCAGCCGCGGUAAUACGUAGGUGGCAAGCGUUAUCCGGAAUUAUUGGGCGUAAAGCGCGCGUAGGCGGUUUUUUAAGUCUGAUGUGAAAGCCCACGGCUCAACCGUGGAGGGUCAUUGGAAACUGGAAAACUUGAGUGCAGAAGAGGAAAGUGGAAUUCCAUGUGUAGCGGUGAAAUGCGCAGAGAUAUGGAGGAACACCAGUGGCGAAGGCGACUUUCUGGUCUGUAACUGACGCUGAUGUGCGAAAGCGUGGGGAUCAAACAGGAUUAGAUACCCUGGUAGUCCACGCCGUAAACGAUGAGUGCUAAGUGUUA